AGUGUGAUUGCUGGAUCCUAUGGUAAUACUAUGUUUAGUUUCAGAAGAAACUGCCAAAGUGUAUUCCAAAGUGGCUGUACCAUUUUCCAUUCUCAUCAGCAAU
RNAcentral lists this microRNA precursor (103 nucleotides) under Chlorocebus sabaeus (green monkey). Its description in RNAcentral is "miRNA (ENSCSAG00000021011.1)". Lineage: Eukaryota; Metazoa; Chordata; Mammalia; Primates; Cercopithecidae. The record is from RNAcentral.